CCGUGGGCUCCUGCCCCGUGUCCGCUGGGAGCAGACCAGCCCCAGGCAGGGGCAGGAGCAAGCUGAGGGAUGCCAGUGCUGAACGCCUGGAAAAUGCGACUAAAUCCGAAAGACCAGCACAAGUGCCAUGUUCCCACCCUGACACAUCUGGGAGCAAGCGUUUCAGGGAGGCUGUGGGC
Molecule: long non-coding RNA, 179 nt
Organism: Pipra filicauda (Wire-tailed manakin)
Lineage: Eukaryota; Metazoa; Chordata; Aves; Passeriformes; Pipridae
Exons: 3
Source: RefSeq, a predicted model, not a curated record